This is a long non-coding RNA of Pipistrellus kuhlii (Kuhl's pipistrelle), 2590 nucleotides long. RefSeq lists it as uncharacterized. NCBI's taxonomy places the organism in Eukaryota, Metazoa, Chordata, Mammalia, Chiroptera, Vespertilionidae. The transcript is spliced from 2 exons. The record is from RefSeq and is a predicted model, not a curated record.
UGUGUGUGUGUGUAUGUGCCGUGAUGGUGGAAGAGCACUCAAGUAUAUAAAUAAAAUAGAAUGAAUACCUGUGGCCCAUCAUAAAACACGAAAUCUGAAAUAUGUUUUCAUGUUUAUAAUUUGCAGUGUCCUUUAAAUAAUCUAGUUCCCAUAACUCAGCCCGUAUUGUUUAAUUUAGAAAUAAAACCUCACAGAUGCCCUUGCAUCUGAAUCACUUUAUCUUAUGGGCAGGUGGCUGCAGAGGCUUCUCCCCAUGCUCAUAUUGUAGCGUUCGGAGGCCGUAGUUUAAGUAAUGAGGCCCAUUUGCACUUUAUUGUUCAAAGGGACUUGUUGCCUAACAUUGCGUAUAAUUUCCUUUCAAACAUGUGGAAAUCAGGACACCACAGGACAGUUCUCUUUGGUCAUUAAGUGUUUUUGCUUUUGUCUCAGCGAGAGGGACAAAACACCCCUUCUGCAUUUGUACAGAUUGCGAACUCCUUGAGGCAGAGACAUCAUCUUAUACAGCUAAUCGAUUUGAGUAAUCAAUGCUCAAAGCAGGAAGGUCAAGGCAAGAAUUUAUCUAUUUUCCAAGUCAACAUGGAAUGUACCAUGCCUGUUACAGGCAGGGAGGCAGCCCAUCUUAUCUGCAAACUACCAGGGCUAUCUACAAUAGCAAGAGAGGUUUGUAGCAAAAGUCUUCCUGUGAAGCAAGACUUCUGGUUAGUGACUCAACCCAAACUAAGCAGCGCGAAUGUUUGCCAGCUCCAGUCUCCACCUCAACCCCCAAAUAAAGAUGCCUUGAAGGAAACCAGAUAAAACUAGAAAACGGAGACACUGACUGUCAACUAAAAAAAUUAAACCAGCUUGCAACAGCAGCAUGAAUGAAGGAUGAUACACUCAACAGUGAAUCUCCACACCCUUCUCAGUAAAUGUGGUGUGACUCUUCAAAGACCGAAAACAAAUAUGAGUGGGAUGCUGCCUUUGCCAUUUCAGUUUUCCAAAGCCUUAUUGAUUAUUUAAAGCCAUUUGAGGGCCUUGGGGCAUAAACAUGGAUGUGCCCGAUGCUUCAAAGGUGCCUCUCCUGCUUUCUGCAUAGAUGGCUCUCGGCUAGCAUUCAGCUCCCUGGGCGCCUGUCAGCACACAGCAUCUGAAACAGGAACUGCAGCAGCAUCAGGCCCGGCCUACCACUGCCAGGAAACAGGCUCCAAAGGGAUCUCCAAGGGCUGGUGGGCUAGUGUCCUAGGCAUUGCCUGCUGCUGUGCCUCAGGAGGGGUCACCCAGCUUCCAGCUGGGGACACCCAGAGGAGUAUAACUCUCCUGAGGUGUUGGACACCAUCACGGUCAGAAUGUUUGCCUGAAUGUGCCCACCCCUGGAGCUGAGAGGGAGGGAGGCGGCAUCCAAAGGAAGAUUAAGAGGAAUUUGUCAGUGGGAUGGCGAUGGGCGCUGGCCAGGCAAACCAACCCAUCUGCAGUACAGGUUACACACCCCUGGAGGCAGGGCGCCGUCUCGCACACGUUUUGCCUGCGAGGCUUCCUGCUGCAGUCGUAGGUAAGCGAUGUUGGCUAUGUUAUGGGGGGGACUCUGCCAAAUGUCCUGUAAGACUUUCAAAGGAGGUCUGGCUGCCCCUGAAGGACAGCCAUCUGGUGACAUGACAGCCACCACACCCUCCUGCCAUACUCGAUUUUCCCGUCUACCACCUUGAAUCUCCAGAAUCCCAGUGUCUUUUCCUCAUCCCUAUGGGAUGGCAUGGAAUAAAGGAAACCCAUAUCCACAGCAGGUGGUGGCCAGGGCGGCACAGACAAAGGCAGGGUCCGGAGGCUUUCUCCUUGUGCCGGGCUCUUUAAGCACAUGGCCCUGCGCACCCGCCUGGGAAUGUGGCGCCUCCUACUGGGGGUUCCAGGAGGGAGCCCUGCAUUGGGAAGGGGGCAGGCUAGGAAAGAAUUCCCCCAAGUCCGCGAUUCGAUGGCAUUCUUUUCUGUUUCUUGUAUGUGGGUCAUAGAUAGUGCUGCCAUUUCUUCCUUCUUGCAAAGAUGUCACAGGGCAGGAUUGUCUGGCGACGGUAUUUCAGGGAACUUCUGCUUCCUCUUGCAGCUUCCCCACAGGCAGAGAUGGACGGCGCUGGGCAAGGUGGGAUCUCUGGGGAACUCUUACUGGUGGAGAACUGAUUACUGGGAGCCUCCAGCAGCUCCCAGUCAGCCCAUUUGUUCCCAUAUUCCCAUUAUCUGGUUUCCCGCUGCACUGGCGGGUAAGCUUACAUGGCUGUGGUAGAGGGUGGUUCCAGGCCUGAGUCCGCCCCUCUGUCACUGGCUUCGAAGGAAGCUGUUCCUUUCUCAGGACCAUGCACCGGCAACGUUAGGAGUUAGGAAAAACUCAAACUUUCAAUACUGUGUUUAGUCUGUGUUGACACAACCCAGCCAACCAACCACCUUGACUAUCGAGUGACAUUAGUGCUCAGGGGCUCAGGGCCUGGCCGGUGUGGCUUAGUAGUUGAGCUUUGACCAAUGAACCACAUGCGGUCACGGUUAGAUUCUGGUCAGGGCACAUGCCUGGGUUUCCAGCUCAAUCCCCAGGAUCAAUGAUUCUCUCCCAUCUGUCCCUUCCUCUCUGAAA